UACGUAGGUGGCAAGCGUUAUCCGGAAUUAUUGGGCGUAAAGCGCGCGUAGGCGGUUUUUUAAGUCUGAUGUGAAAGCCCACGGCUCAACCGGGGAGGGUCAUUGGAAACUGGGGAACUUGAGUGCAGAAGAGGAGAGUGGAAUUCCAUGUGUAGCGGUGAAAUGCGCAGAGAUAUGGAGGAACACCAGUGGCGAAGGCGGCUCUCUGGUCUGUAACUGACGCUGAUGUGCGAAAGCGUGGGGAUCAAACAGG
RNAcentral lists this ribosomal RNA (253 nucleotides) under uncultured bacterium. RNAcentral's name for it is "partial 16S ribosomal RNA". It matches the Rfam family "Bacterial small subunit ribosomal RNA", at positions 524 to 776 of the family's 1533-position model. The record is from RNAcentral.